CACAGAAGAAUCCAGAGAUGGAUUUGUGCCUUCGGGAACUGUGAGACAGGUGCUGCAUGGCUGUCGUCAGCUCGUGUUGUGAAAUGUUGGGUUAAGUCCCGCAACGAGCGCAACCCUUAUCCUUUGUUGCCAGCGAUUAGGUCGGGAACUCAAAGGAGACUGCCAGUGAUAAACUGGAGGAAGGUGGGGAUGACGUCAAGUCAUCAUGGCCCUUACGACCAGGGCUACACACGUGCUACAAUGGCGCAUACAAAGAGAAGCGACCUCGCGAGAGCAAGCGGACCUCAUAAAGUGCGUCGUAGUCCGGAUUGGAGUCUGCAACUCGACUCCAUGAAGUCGGAAUCGCUAGUAAUCGUGGAUCAGAAUGCCACGGUGAAUACGUUCCCGGGCCUUGUACACACCGCCCGUCACACCAUGGGAGUGGGUUGCAAAAGAAGUAGGUAGCUUAACCUUCGGGAGGGCGCUUACCACUUUGUGAUUCAUGACUGGGGUGAAGUCGUAACAAGGUAACCGUAGGGGAACCUGCGGUUGGA
This 533-nucleotide ribosomal RNA is filed under the name Salmonella enterica subsp. enterica serovar 4,[5],12:i:-. RNAcentral describes it as "bacterial SSU rRNA". It matches the Rfam family "Bacterial small subunit ribosomal RNA", at positions 989 to 1522 of the family's 1533-position model. The record is from RNAcentral. Lineage: Bacteria; Pseudomonadati; Pseudomonadota; Gammaproteobacteria; Enterobacterales; Enterobacteriaceae.